GGGGAUUUAGCUUAGCGGCAUAAGCAUCUGCCUGGCAAGCACAAGGUGGUAAGUUCAAUGCCCG
Molecule: transfer RNA, 64 nt
Filed under: Cavia porcellus (domestic guinea pig)
Lineage: Eukaryota; Metazoa; Chordata; Mammalia; Rodentia; Caviidae
Rfam family: tRNA
About the family: Transfer RNA (tRNA) molecules are approximately 80 nucleotides in length. Their secondary structure includes four short double-helical elements and three loops (D, anti-codon, and T loops).
Source: Rfam by way of RNAcentral